AUUGAACGCUGGCGGCAUGCCUUACACAUGCAAGUCGAACGGUAACGCGGGGCAACCUGGCGACGAGUGGCGAACGGGUGAGUAAUGCAUCGGAACGUACCCAGUAGUGGGGGAUAGCCCGGCGAAAGCCGGAUUAAUACCGCAUACGACCUAAGGGUGAAAGCGGGGGACCGUAAGGCCUCGCGCUAUUGGAGCGGCCGAUGUCAGAUUAGGUAGUUGGUGGGGUAAAGGCCUACCAAGCCUUCGAUCUGUAGCUGGUCUGAGAGGACGACCAGCCACACUGGGACUGAGACACGGCCCAGACUCCUACGGGAGGCAGCAGUGGGGAAUUUUGGACAAUGGGCGAAAGCCUGAUCCAGCCAUGCCGCGUGCGGGAAGAAGGCCU
This 385-nucleotide ribosomal RNA is filed under the name uncultured bacterium. RNAcentral's name for it is "bacterial SSU rRNA". It matches the Rfam family "Bacterial small subunit ribosomal RNA", at positions 29 to 417 of the family's 1533-position model. The record is from RNAcentral.